GAUGAACGCUGGCGGCGUGCCUAAUACAUGCAAGUAGAACGCUGAAGCUUGGUGCUUGCACCGAGCGGAAGAGUUGCGAACGGGUGAGUAACGCGUAGGUAACCUGCCUCUUAGCGGGGGAUAACUAUUGGAAACGAUAGCUAAUACCGCAUAAAAGUCGACAUUGCAUGAUGUUGACUUGAAAGGUGCAAAUGCAUCACUAAGAGAUGGACCUGCGUUGUAUUAGCUAGUUGGUGAGGUAACGGCUCACCAAGGCGACGAUACAUAGCCGACCUGAGAGGGUGAUCGGCCACACUGGGACUGAGACACGGCCCAGACUCCUACGGGAGGCAGCAGUAGGGAAUCUUCGGCAAUGGACGGAAGUCUGACCGAGCAACGCCGCGUGAGUGAAGAAGGUUUUCGGAUCGUAAAGCUCUGUUGUAAGAGAAGAACGAGUGUGAGAGUGGAAAGUUCACACUGUGACGGUAACUUACCAGAAAGGGACGGCUAACUACGUGCCAGCAGCCGCGGUAAUACGUAGGUCCCGAGCGUUAUCCGGAUUUAUUGGGCGUAAAGCGAGCGCAGGCGGUUAGAUAAGUCUGAAGUUAAAGGCUGUGGCUUAACCAUAGUACGCUUUGGAAACUGUUUAACUUGAGUGCAGAAGGGGAGAGUGGAAUUCCAUGUGUAGCGGUGAAAUGCGUAGAUAUAUGGAGGAACACCGGUGGCGAAAGCGGCUCUCUGGUCUGUAACUGACGCUGAGGCUCGAAAGCGUGGGGAGCAAACAGG
This 765-nucleotide ribosomal RNA is filed under the name uncultured Streptococcus sp. Its description in RNAcentral is "bacterial SSU rRNA". It matches the Rfam family "Bacterial small subunit ribosomal RNA", at positions 28 to 776 of the family's 1533-position model. Lineage: Bacteria; Bacillati; Bacillota; Bacilli; Lactobacillales; Streptococcaceae. The record is from RNAcentral.